CUAAAGUAUUUGUUAUAAUAGUGUUGUGCCAUUUCUCUUUCGCUUUGUUUUGUUUAUGAAAAUGUGAAUUCCAUUUCUAGAUCAUACACGUCUUCUUCAACCUCUUUGUCAGUUUAUUCUCCUCGCUCCUGGCGGAGUGCAAAACAGACCUUCCGCUGUAAAGAACUUAUUAAGUAAGUACUUAUCAUAUGGCUGUCUUAUCAUAAGUUGCUCUGUGUUAGUAUAGAUUUUCUUAUAUAACACCUCAUUACAUUUUGGUCAUUUAAUUAGUGCAUAUGAUCACAUCAUAAUAUUAUAAUAUUUUAAUAAAAUAUAAUAUUAUAUUUUAAUAUUAUUAAAAUAUUAUAUAAUAUUAUAAUAUCUUUACCACAAUUAAAGAAAAUUUGUCAAUCAAAGUUUGAUUUGAGCAAUUUAGACCAAGAAGCUGUCCAAUAUUAUAAUAUUAUUAAAAUAUUUGCCGGUUUACACGAGACACAUGAAACAAGAUUCAUUUGUAAGGUCCGCAUUUCGACAUUUGUACGACACCAUCUGCAUCAUCACUUGUAACUUUAUACCAACUUGAACUGGUUGUAGUUUGUUUUAAGUAAUUCAAAAUUGAUAGCAUGUAAUUGCAUCUAUCUUUGGUAGAAUUUGUACGGUUUUACUAAAUUGUUCAAUAGGAGUUUCAACUAGAUUUUAGCUAUCAUUAAAUUAUGGAUUUCAGUUCGACUGCAUUUUUUCAGUCAGCCGGAAAUUGAUGUCACGACCUUUCAUUAUCAUAUUCAUAUUUCCAAGUAUUGUGAAUAAUCAAGGUGUUGUUAUUGCAAAAUCAAACCAAAGCGAAGGCGGAAGUGUUUCAAAACCUCGUCUGUUUCUUGCUCUCGAUUUAUUUGCUUUACAAUGUGAGAUAAAUAUGACAAAGAAAGAUCAUUGGUAUCGAAUCUUUAACUAGAAAGUGACGCAAUGUUUCUAUGAGCUAUGAACCAUGGCUUGCUGCCCGACCGAAGAGAAAUAUGCCUACGAAGACUGUCGAUUUGAGAAAGAUGUCGACGAAAAUUUUCAUUGUUCUAUCUGCUACAAUGUUCUUAAAGAACCAAGGACGUGUAGGAAUAAUGAUCACAUCUUUUGUCUUGCCUGCAUCACUCAACAUCUAAAGGUGAACUCUCAAACUUGUCCUGAAUGUAAUGAGCAUUUGAGCGUCGAUACGCUUCGUCGGCCGCGUGUGUUGAAUAACAUGUUGUCUAAACUAAAGAUAAAUUGUGAUCAUGCCAGUCGGGGAUGUCCUCAGUUUACCUGUCUUGAAGAUCUCAAAACUCACGUGGCGAAUUGUGGCUAUGCACCUGUGUUGUGUUCAAAUGCAGAGUGUGGUAUGGAGAUUAACAAACAAGAUAAGGUCCAUCAUGAGACUGAAGUUUGUGAUUAUAGAAAAGUGAAAUGUCAUGACUGUGGACAGAUACAGGAAGAUGUCGGAACAUUGAAAGGAAGUUUAAUGGAACUGGAUAGGAAAGUGGAAGCAGUGAAAGAAAUUAAUAAGGAAAUCAACAAAAAAGUUGAAGCAGUGAAGGAAAUGAAUGGAAAAGUGGAAGCAGCAGUGAAGGAAAUGAACGAAAAAGUGGAAGCAUCAAGUGGACAAACGAAGAAGGAAAUCGGGGAAGUUAAGAAAGAAGUCAAAGAUAUGAAGGACAAUCUUUCCAAAGUGAACAAAGACAUGGACGAAGUCAAAGUCAUGAUGAUUCAAAUGUUAGAGAAGUUAAAUAUGCUUGAACUGCUGAACAAACUGCCAUCUCCGACUGAGGGAAUGUUGAACACACCAAGAGAGGAUAUUUUGAUUGCAGGUGGAUAUGGAGGACCUUGGAGUGAAUCUGGCCAAAGUACGGAAAUUUAUUCCUGGGAGAAAAAUGGUUGGUUUGAGGUGUCGCCAAUGAAUGACGACCAUGGAGGUUCUUCCUCAUUUAUCUAUAAAGACCAGUUCUUUGUUCUCGGGGGAGUAAAUAGUAAGGCAAUAGAGACCUUGAAUCUCGAUGAAUUACCUUUCAAAUGGACGAAAUUUCUUGGGGAACUGCCUUAUGAAUGUGUUGGUCAUCAAACUGUUGUUUACCAGCAGAUUGCUAUUUACAUUGGUGGAUACAAAUAUGGCAAAGGAUGGUCUAACGUGAUUAGUGAAUUGCAACUUAUUUCACCUUGCAUUACGAAAGAGUUGUGUCAAAUGCGUGAACCACGAGCAUAUCAUGGCGCUGAGGUAUUUGAAGAUAAAGUGCUGAUUUUAGGAGGAUAUUGCCCUGGUAUUAAGACUACAGACAGUGUAUUGGAGUUUGAUCCAAAAAGGAAUGAAUGUAAAGAGAUGCCAAAAUUGCCGUCUGCCUUCAGGAGAAUGGCGACAGUUCGCUGGAGGGAUAAAGUAGUGUUGCUUGGAGGUCGUAAUAAGGACGACAAAGUUUUGAAUGAUGUUUUCAUGUACGACUCCAAGACAGGCAAGACCACAGCCUUGCCAUCCAUGUCGGAGAAGAGAUGUGCAUGUUGUGCAGUUAUUACUGGAAAUACCAUUGUAGUGAUGGGAGGGGAGAAUGAGAAAGAUGAAUCUCUCAGUUCAGUGGAGUGUUUUACAAUGGGAGGUUCUACAUGGGAGUAUCUUCCUGUCAUGAACAAACCAAGAUCCAGAGCAGUUGCUGAAGUUUUACCUUCCACACGAAAAUAUGUGUAAAUUGGACAUUGAGACAAUCGUAAGACGUUAAUUCAUAAUUGGGUUACGUUUUCGGGCACGAUUACAUGGUUCGAUCAGCUUUGCUGGGUUGAGAUAUGGUAUGAUUUUGAUGUAUUGAAAUAUUCCACGGUUUAUGAUUUGGAGAAAUUGCAUUAAUUUUCCAAGAUAGUUUGCCAUGUAAUUGAUGCUGAACAACUAGCAAUUUACAGUAAUAAUAAUUUCGUUAAACUACAGGUUUGAUCAAUUGCAUUCCAGCUUCUAAUAUUGUCGUCUGACAUGGUUCAGCUUUGCUGGAUUGAGAUAUGGGAUGAUUUUAAUGUCUUAAAAUAUUCCAGAUUCAUGAUUCGGAGAAAUUACAUCAACCGAACAACUAGCAAUUUACAAUGCCGAACAACUAGCAAUUUACAAUCAUAAUAAUUUCGUUAAUCUACAGGUUUGAUCAAUUGCAUUCCAGCUCCUAAUAUUGUCGUUUGAUUUCAACUUUAUAUACGUUGUGACUUAUGUCGAUACAUUAAAAUCAUCCUGCUUCAUCGUGAAUCACAUCUCAAUAACUAUAUAGUGAUGUUUAUGUUAGUUGAAUAUAUACAGAGAAUGUACAAAAUUAUAGCAAAAUCCAUUCUCCACAGCCUUUCUUAACAUCACAUUGCAAAUUUUAAGAGUUUAAAAUUUUCUUUGUAACAUCCGGCUGUGGUUUCGUUUGAAAAAAUUGAUUGAUUGACCUAGAUUCUUUUAUUAUAGUAUUAGGUAGUCAUGACUAUAAGUUAUGACAAAUAAAAAAAUUAAUAAAGUUUUAUCUCUUAACUCUGAAAUAAAACUAUUACUGGAAAUUCUCCUGUUUUAUUCAACUCUGAGCAAACGAGAGAAAUAUUUUGAAUCUUGAAGACUGCUUUUCAAUUGAGAAAAGUGGACAAAUCCGGCUGCCAGUAAGAUUCAAAAUAUCACUUCAGAAAAACGAUGUCUUUUAAUAAUUUAAAUAUCACCAUCAAUCAUUUCGGAAUUACGGUGAAAUGCCGCGCAGACAAUAGCAUGAGAAUGAGGCGUCAUGCAAAGUUGUUAUGUUUCUGUAUUUGACACGAACCCUCGACUUGAUCUUAUUGUUUUUUACAACUAUAAAGCGUAAUCUCGAAAUAACCUAUUGUUGAACCAUCAGUUGUUUUGGAUGAAAAUUAAAUCUAAUUUGUAAUAUCAAUCAAAAAUGAAUCUAGAGCUUUAGUUUUAUGUAAUUUAUAAACAACAAGAAAUAUUUUUUGAUUAUAAUAUUAAUGUGAUAUUAUAAUAUGUUUAUAAUAUUAUAAUAUUACCUACUAUUUAAAACACGAGCAGGGGUGCUUUAUGGGAUAUAAAAAAGUAUUAUUGCACGUUGUGGUUACCAAGCCCCGGCGCGCUCCAUUGUUUGCUAAAAACCGCGCGAAAAUUCCAUAUUUUUAAAAGCGUAAACAAAAUGUCUUUGCUUUCUCUCUAACUUUUGAAUAUAUAAUAAAACAAUUAUUGAAUUCGGUUUUCGUAUGAUAUCGAGAAUUAUCAAGGUUUGUGUUAUCUACCUCAGGCUUCGGCGGAAAACUCAAACCUCGGCCUGGAUAAUUCUCGAUAUCAUACUCAACCUCAUUCAAUAAAAAUAUUGUGAAAAAUCAUAUCAGCAUUAUGACGUGACUCCGUUAAAUAUUAUCUCAGAACUUCUUAUUUGAUAAUAAUUGUAAUAAUAAUCGUUUUAUUGACAACCAAUUUUGCAGUUAAAACUGAAUUACACUGGUUUUACAACUGUAAGAUACUAUAUAAAGUAAGAAUAUAUAGUAACAUAUGAUUAAAUUUAUGAUUUAACUUAUGAUUUAGUCAAACUAUUGAGUUGAUAUGGCGAUUUCACAGUUGGCUGUUACCCAAUCAGAAACAAUGAAUCUUUUGUAUACCUCCUUAUACCUCAAACACCUCCCAAAUUUAUUUUCCUCUAUUUCAGCUAUUAUCAAAGAUGUUUAUCCGCGGAAACCAUCCAUUGUGUCAAAAUACGCUCUGCCAGUGAUGUGGAAACUUCUCGAGUCUUCGAGCAGUGCAUCGACUGGCAGUGGAAAUAUGAAGGAAGCCGUUCACGGUUUGGCUAACCUACUUUAUUCUUUAAUGGGACAAUCUCUGUUUGAGCAGGCUCAAGCAAAGUCGCACAGAUUACGACAAAAGCUCAAAGAGCUAUUGGAUCAAUGACUGCAUCAAUGAUUGACAAUCUGCUUUGUGAGCAGAGAAUGUUGGAAUGGGGUCCAGGCCAGAUUCCAUAAAAGGCAGUUACACACACGGAAAAUUUCGUCCCGCCAACACGCUGAGCUUUUGCCGCGUUCGAUCUGGUCACCAUUGGCUCAGCUUCGGCCGUACAACAACAGCCAGAACAUCAAAACUGACCGAAUUGGGCUCACUGCUGCUCGGAUAUUUUGCUCCUGUAUACGGUAAAUUCUCUAUUAAGACCCUCUCUCCUUCAGGCAAUAAUAUAAGCUCAUAUUCUUUAUGGGGAAGCCUUUGGCUAAUAACAUCCACGCUUAUUUUAGAGGGAGAAAUCGACAAGCCCGCACCCAUCCCUGGCCAAUAUGCCAUUCGCUAUUGGUCCACUCUCCAAGAAAGCCGUCUCCCUCAAGCGUGCGAACAACUAUUCCCCCCGGAGACUUGAUAUAGGAUUUACCGUCAGGAAUGGAAGGUGGUGGUCGCCUUUUAUAAAAAAAACUUCCCUGGUGUUGACAAGUUGUCUUAAAAGAGAGUUCUAUAAUAUUUAAUAUAUUAAUAAUGUUUUUAACAUUUGUACAUACACAAUGCGUGAACAUUUUAAAAAGAGUGAAAAUUCAAUUUGAAUUUAUACAUGACUAAAGUUUAGCUGUAAACAUUUUUAUGCUGAAAUACGUCCCUCGAACUGUUUACGCGGUGGCCAUUACGUUUUCGUCAAAUUUGCUGUUGACAGUUUCGGUGUAAGAAGAAGGCGUCAAAAAUGGUGAACAACAACAAGUAAAGGUGAACGUUUUUUGAAAAAAGUUAAAGCUAUUAACUCCUUUACUUUCUCGCCAUUUUUUCACCUUUUUGAAAACUUCAAAAGUUCAGGCUCGUUUUGAAAAUGUGAAAAAGUAAUUAAAAUGGCCAAAAGGUAUGGCUAAUCUUAAAUUUUUGGCUAUUUUAUUUUAAUAAUUAAUAGUGCCUGCUAUUUGCAUAAAAUGCGAUUGCCGAAUCAGAGUGCAUUAAAAUCUGACCAAUAGG
This is a non-coding RNA of Paramuricea clavata, 5899 nucleotides long. The record is from the annotation of a GenBank genome assembly. NCBI's taxonomy places the organism in Eukaryota, Metazoa, Cnidaria, Anthozoa, Malacalcyonacea, Plexauridae.